Molecule: unclassified non-coding RNA, 348 nt
Filed under: soil metagenome
Description: partial contains 5.8S ribosomal RNA, internal transcribed spacer 2, and large subunit ribosomal RNA
Rfam family: 5.8S ribosomal RNA (bases 1-120)
Source: RNAcentral
GAUGAAGAACGUAGCGAAAUGCGAUAAGUAAUGUGAAUUGCAGAAUUCAGUGAAUCAUCGAAUCUUUGAACGCACAUUGCGCCCGCCAGUAUUCUGGCGGGCAUGCCUGUCUGAGCGUCAUUUCAACCCUCAUGCCCCUAGGGCGUGGUGUUGGGGAUCGGCCAAAGCCCGCGAUGGACGGCCGGCCCCUAAAUCUAGUGGCGGACCCGUCGUGGCCUCCUCUGCGAAGUAGUGAUAUUCCGCAUCGGAGAGCGAUGAGCCCCUGCCGUUAAACCCCCAACUUUCCAAGGUUGACCUCAGAUCAGGUAGGAAUACCCGCUGAACUUAAGCAUAUCAAUAAGCGGAGGA